RNAcentral lists this ribosomal RNA (1377 nucleotides) under metagenome. RNAcentral's name for it is "bacterial SSU rRNA". It matches the Rfam family "Bacterial small subunit ribosomal RNA". The record is from RNAcentral.
AGAGUUUGAUCCUGGCUCAGGAUGAACGCUGGCGGCGUGCUUAACACAUGCAAGUCGAACGAACCUUCGGGUUAGUGGCGGACGGGUGAGUAACGCGUGAGAAUCUGCCCUCAGGAGGGGGAUAACGGCUGGAAACGGCCGCUAAUACCCCAUAUGCCGAGAGGUGAAAUGAAUUUCGCCUGAGGAUGAGCUCGCGUCUGAUUAGCUUGUUGGUGUGGUAAAGGCUCACCAAGGCAUCGAUCAGUAGCUGGUCUGAGAGGAUGAUCAGCCACACUGGGACUGAGACACGGCCCAGACUCCUACGGGAGGCAGCAGUGGGGAAUUUUCCGCAAUGGGCGCAAGCCUGACGGAGCAACGCCGCGUGAGGGAUGAAGGCCUCUGGGCUGUAAACCUCUUUUAUCAAGGAAGAAGAUCUGACGGUACUUGAUGAAUAAGCCACGGCUAAUUCCGUGCCAGCAGCCGCGGUAAUACGGGAGUGGCAAGCGUUAUCCGGAAUUAUUGGGCGUAAAGCGUCCGCAGGCGGUCUUGAAAGUCUGUUGUUAAAGCGUGGAGCUCAACUCCAUUUCAGCAAUGGAAACUAGAAGACUAGAGUGUGGUAGGGGCAGAGGGAAUUCCCGGUGUAGCGGUGAAAUGCGUAGAUAUCGGGAAGAACACCAGUGGCGAAGGCGCUCUGCUGGGCCAUAACUGACGCUCAUGGACGAAAGCCAGGGGAGCGAAAGGGAUUAGAUACCCCUGUAGUCCUGGCCGUAAACGAUGAACACUAGGUGUCGGGGGAAUCGACCCCCUCGGUGUCGUAGCCAACGCGUUAAGUGUUCCGCCUGGGGAGUACGCACGCAAGUGUGAAACUCAAAGGAAUUGACGGGGGCCCGCACAAGCGGUGGAGUAUGUGGUUUAAUUCGAUGCAACGCGAAGAACCUUACCAGGGUUUGACAUCCUGCGAAUCCCUUGGAAACUUGGGAGUGCCUUCGGGAGCGCAGUGACAGGUGGUGCAUGGCUGUCGUCAGCUCGUGUCGUGAGAUGUUGGGUUAAGUCCCGCAACGAGCGCAACCCACGUCUUUAGUUGCCAGCAUUAAGUUGGGCACUCUAGAGUGACUGCCGGUGAUAAACCGGAGGAAGGUGUGGAUGACGUCAAGUCAUCAUGCCCCUUACAUCCUGGGCUACACACGUACUACAAUGCUACGGACAAAGGGCAGCAAACUCGCGAGAGCUAGCAAAUCCCAUAAACCGUGGCUCAGUUCAGAUCGUAGGCUGCAACUCGCCUACGUGAAGGAGGAAUCGCUAGUAAUCGCAGGUCAGCAUACUGCGGUGAAUACGUUCCCAGGCCUUGUACACACCGCCCGUCACACCAUGGAAGUUGGCCACGCCCGAAGUCGUUAC